This 498-nucleotide ribosomal RNA is filed under the name uncultured bacterium. Its description in RNAcentral is "partial 16S ribosomal RNA". It matches the Rfam family "Bacterial small subunit ribosomal RNA", at positions 30 to 523 of the family's 1533-position model. The record is from RNAcentral.
AUUGAACGCUGGCGGCAUGCCUUACACAUGCAAGUCGAACGGUAACAGGUCUUUGGAUGCUGACGAGUGGCGAGCGGGUGAGUAAUACAUCGGAACGUACCCGAUCGUGGGGGAUAACGAAGCGAAAGCUUUGCUAAUACCGCAUAAGAUCUACGGAUGAAAGCAGGGGACCGCAAGGCCUUGCGCGAACGGAGCGGCCGAUGGCAGAUUAGGUAGUUGGUGGGAUAAAAGCUUACCAAGCCGACGAUCUGUAGCUGGUCUGAGAGGACGACCAGCCACACUGGGACUGAGACACGGCCCAGACUCCUACGGGAGGCAGCAGUGGGGAAUUUUGGACAAUGGGCGAAAGCCUGAUCCAGCCAUGCCGCGUGCAGGAUGAAGGCCUUCGGGUUGUAAACUGCUUUUGUACGGAACGAAAAGACUCUUUCUAAUAAAGAGGGUCCAUGACGGUACCGUAAGAAUAAGCACCGGCUAACUACGUGCCAGCCGCCGCAGUAA